ACAGAGACCCAUUGAAUUUAAGCAUAUAAGUAGGUGGAGGAAGGGACACAAACUAGGCUUUCACAAGUAGUUGCGAAUGAAAGUGGGACUGCUCAACUUGAAAUUUGCCGGGGACUUGCCUUUGACAUGAAAUCUCUGAACAUGUUGUCAAUGGGGGUGCAUGUGUUAGUUGCUUUGAAAGAGGGGAUGCAAGUGUGUACAAGGGUGAGAAUCCUGCUUGUCACUUGCUGUGCCUCUGUGUACUGCACAAGUGUUUUAGACUCAUGCUCUUUGGAAGUGGAGUGUAAAGGGGGUGGUAGAUCUCACCCACAGGUGAUGACAACACUGAGACCGACAGUGAAGAAGUACCGUGAGGGAAGUGUGAAAAGUACUUUGGAAAGAGAACUAAAUGAGCCUACACUUGCUGAAUGGCAAGUACACAGGAAUGCACAUUUGGGAAAGGAUUGCUUGAAGUUCAUGACAUGUCUGUGUGUGUUGUGCAACAGCUGGAGUUUCCUUUUCAGGCAUGGCAGCGACAGUGGUGACUGUCAGUGUCUGUGUGCACUGCUUGUGGGGAGUCUCCUUUCGCAAAAUCUGCAGCUCACUGAACUUGCCAAAACUGUGUAAGGCACUGUGGUGAAUGUGUGGCAAGAGACUAGUGCAAUGCUGCCAGUAUGUUCUGUGUGACCCGUCUUGAAACACGGACUGAGGAGUCUAACACACAUGCAGGCUGGUGGGUGUGUGAGCCUGCUGCGCAACGAAAGUGCAGCCCCAGACAUGCCCAUGUGGGUCAACCAACCAGCAGGAUGAGGUUUGAGUCUCAGCACUCCUGUUAGGACCCGAAAGAUGGUGAACUAUGCCUGGCAAGGGCCAAGUCAGGGGAAACUCUGGUGGAGGAUCGCAGCGGUACUGACGUGCAAAUCGUUCGUCGUAUUUGGGUAUGGGGGCGAAAGACUAAUCGAACCAUC
Molecule: ribosomal RNA, 947 nt
Filed under: Gambierdiscus carolinianus
Lineage: Eukaryota; Dinophyceae; Gonyaulacales; Pyrocystaceae
Description: partial large subunit ribosomal RNA
Rfam family: Eukaryotic large subunit ribosomal RNA
Source: RNAcentral